GGCGAGUGAAGCGGCAAAAGCUCAAAUUUGAAAUCUGGUACCUUCGGUGCCCGAGUUGUAAUUUGGAGAGGGCAACUUUGGGGCCGUUCCUUGUCUAUGUUCCUUGGAACAGGACGUCAUAGAGGGUGAGAAUCCCGUGUGGCGAGGAGUGCGGUUCUUUGUAAAGUGCCUUCGAAGAGUCGAGUUGUUUGGGAAUGCAGCUCUAAGUGGGUGGUAAAUUCCAUCUAAAGCUAAAUAUUGGCGAGAGACCGAUAGCGAACAAGUACAGUGAUGGAAAGAUGAAAAGAACUUUGAAAAGAGAGUGAAAAAGUACGUGAAAUUGUUGAAAGGGAAGGGCAUUUGAUCAGACAUGGUGUUUUGUGCCCUCUGCUCCUUGUGGGUAGGGGAAUCUCGCAUUUCACUGGGCCAGCAUCAGUUUUGGUGGCAGGAUAAAUCCAUAGGAAUGUAGCUUGCCUCGGUAAGUAUUAUAGCCUGUGGGAAUACUGCCAGCUGGGACUGAGGACUGCGACGUAAGUCAAGGAUGCUGGCAUAAUGGUUAUAUGCCGC
This 546-nucleotide ribosomal RNA is filed under the name Saccharomyces cerevisiae (brewer's yeast). RNAcentral describes it as "partial large subunit ribosomal RNA". It matches the Rfam family "Eukaryotic large subunit ribosomal RNA", at positions 88 to 648 of the family's 3401-position model. Lineage: Eukaryota; Fungi; Ascomycota; Saccharomycetes; Saccharomycetales; Saccharomycetaceae. The record is from RNAcentral.